CCUAUAGGCAGUAUUACUGGAGGCUGGUGGGAGGAGCUAUAGGAGGACGGGUUCAAUGUAAUGGUUGGAUAAAAUGAAUGGAACAGAGUCAAACAUGUGGUUUCCAUAUGUUUGAUACCUUUCCAUUAAGCCCAUUCCAGCCGUGUGGCUCAGUUGGUAGAGCAUGGUGUUUGCAACGCCAGGGUUGUGGGUUCGAUUCCCACGGGGGACCAGUAUGGAAAAAAAAAAAUGUAUGAAAUGUAUGCAUUCACUACUGUAAGUCGCUCUGGAUAAGAGCGUCUGCUAAAUGACUAAAAUGUAAAAAAUUAUGAAGAGCCCAUCCUCCUAUAGCUCCUCCCACCAGCCUCCUCUGCUAUGGACAGUUUGUUGUUGAUGCUACCACGCAGAUCCCACAGAAAACCUCCCUAAGGCGUUGGAUGAGUCACCCAGCCCCAGAGUGCAUCAGAGAUGAACAUUAUUCAUCUCUCAAUAACAAAACAGGCAUACCAACCCACAACAACACUAUAUGGCUAUGUGUGAGGGUCAUGAUGUAAGUGCAUAAUUGUUUCCACACUUCCCAUAAGAGCUGGUUGAAAAUAACCCAAAUGGACACAGGUUGAGUGAGGGUGCCAGGCUGAUUCAUAGUGAUUGUAAUACAGCCAUAUGGAUGAAUGGGAGAAGACUCACUCAGAGAUAUCCUAGCCAGGUUCAAACAAGACAGUGACCUUGACUGAACAGCCAGUAUGCAGCCAGUAGCAUCUUUACCAUUCAUACCACACCAGAUGAAGGCAGAUGAAGGUGCUUACAGUGUAGGUUCUCUUUGGGUUGAUUAGGUUCUGUUCGGUUUGAGAUAUUUUACAAUCAUACCAAACAGAACCUAAGUACCCACUGUAUUCACAUAACAAGCUGUGAUUAUGUGAAUACGGUCGGUGCUUAUUUUCAGCUCUCUUGCAACAUGCUUUGGAAGCUGCCAUACCUCCUGGAGUUAUGUACAUUUUAUUCGGUCCUCAUGUUUAUGGAUCUCUGUUUAAGGAAAUAUACUUCUGCAUCUGUUGCGGUGUAGCGAUGGACGCAGAGCUCCAGUGCAAUAACUCUGGUUGACAUUAGUAGGUAUUCAGUCUGUGUUCAUUACCAUUCAUAGCUUAGUUGUGCUGCUGCGCUGGGUUGGUUACUGCUGAAGGAGUUUUUUUUUAACCUUUAGCAGGGAGUACCAUGGAGACCAAGGCCUCUUUUCCAAUUGAUAAAAUGUGCAACAUUCAAACAUACAACGUAAUAAGAACAUAAUACUAGCAAUUUAAGAAGCAAAACACAUUCCUCAACAACGAGGUCAUCCAUUAGCAAUUGAACUCACCUAAACAUAGUCUAUAUAAUAAUAUACUGUUUGUAAACUACAUAUAUUAGACAGUAUUGUACAUGUGCCGACAUGAUUGAUUGGAGAUAAAGGAGAAAAGUACCUAGGUGAAAGGAAUUAGACACCUUUGUCUUAAAAUAGUGGCUGAUCUAAGGGUCGAGGUCACACUGCUGCAUAUUAAGAAUUUUUCUGUCUGCUUUUUGGGAAGCUGAAAUACGAGAGGGCAGUUGUUGUCGCUCACAGCGGUUCACUCCAUGCCAACACAAACUGUGCUCCUCUUUCAACUAAACCCCACUUCGCAUUCCAAUAAUGCAUUUCCACUGGGAGAGAUACGUGUGUGAACUCCCUUUCUGAAAGUCUCACAGUGUUACAUCUUAUUUCUGGUGGGUUAAAGACCUUCUGUAAAAGCAGUCUGACAUUUUAAAUAAAUGCCAAGAUAACUUUUUUCUCCAUGUUACACAUAGCCCAGACUGCACAUUUGUGGUGGAGUUGUAGAAAAAUACAGAGAGCAGACAAACAGUAAAAUCUUCAUAGCCAGUAGCCCACAUUUAUUCUCAAAACAUAACAUAAUAUCCACCAUUUUUGGUUCACAGUUUUUUAUCCAUCCCACAGUUAAGUAUUACAUUAAAAGUCAUGAGGUGGCCUAUAAAAUGAAAAUGAUUUCCCUUUGUUCAGUUUCAACUGGAGCUUUUUGUGGAUAUAAACUGAGACUGAGUGGACAAAACAUGACAUAGACUGACCUGGUUAAACCCGGUGAAAGCUAUAAUCCCUUAUUGGGUUGUGCAACUCAGUAUUAGGAAGGUGUUCUUAAUGAUUUGUACACUUAUUUUUUUUAUUUCACCUUUAUUUAACCAGGUAGGCAAGUUGAGAACAAGUUCUCAUUUACAAUUGCAACCUGGCCAAGAUAAAGCAAAGCUAUUCGACACAUACAACAACACAGUUACACAUGGAGUAAAACAAACGUACAGUCAAUAAUACAGUAGAAAAAUAAGUCUAUAUACAAUGUGAGCAAAUGAGGUGAGAUAAGGGAGGUAAAGGCAAAAAAAAGGCCAUGGUGGCAAAGUAAAUACAAUAUAGCAAGUAAAACACUGGAAUGGUAGAUUUGUAGCGGAAGAAAGUGCAAAGUAGAAAUAGAAAUAAUGGGGUGCAAAGGAGCAAAAUAAAUAAAUAAAUACAGUAGGGGAAGAGGUAGUUGUUUGGGCUAAAUUAUAGAUGGGCUAUGUACAGGUGCUGGUGCAGUAUAUUGUAAUAACUCUAUGAAAACAUUCACAUUCUGAAGGGAUACUCUCACCAAACGGCAUCAUCCCUCACCACUACAUAACAUUCCCUUAUUUACCCAUUUUGGGUCAUAAUGCUUAAUGUUAUGGUCUGAGUCAUUAUCUCCUUUCUGUUAGUGACUGGACAAUCAGACGCACAACACAUACUGCACCAUAUGCCUUACAAGUCUUGUGAGUGUGUGACAUACCAAAAGAGCUGAGGAGAAGGCAUAUGCCUCUCAGUAGCAUGUACAGCAUGGCUGACUGGCCCUCUGGAAGAAGCUUGGCCAGAGGCAGGAAGGAAGUGAGGCAGAGACGGACAACAGAACCCUGGGUGAGAAAGGAGAGACUACCCCAAAUUACAUGUAAAGAAGUCGACUAGCCACAUCAGAACCCGAUCAUUCUCCACUGAACCAAAGGCCCCAGUCAGGUUUAGGGUUUGUCCCCUGCCUGUACUCCUCUGCUGAUGUGGACUCUGACUCCAUGGAUCCAUUCGUCUCUCUCUCUCUGUCCAGUAUGUGUAGGUCCGUUACCCCUCCUGUGCCCUCCAACGGCUGCUCAUGCCAUCUGCGGGGUGCCAUCUGGUUCAUAGUGGAGAUCAUGCAAAACAGAACACAUUCAUCCUUUGCAGUGAGAAGAGUGAUUCCAGCCCCUCUGUGUGUGUGUGUGUGUGUGUGUCAUUAAACACACACAGAAACCACCACAACCGUCCUCUAAAAAAAAAAAAAAAAAAAAAUGUAGAUGUUUUUGGUUUGAUCAUAAUGAUAUCAUCAGAUACUAAUAAGAAGUCCACAUACGCAUUGUCCUGACUAUGUUUCACAAACACUCAAAAUGCAAGCUUUUGACAAUUUCUGGUCUACAGUAGCAUUGUACCCUCUCCCUUUGGGAUGCUGGUAAAGCAAUGAAUCGACUAUACUAAUUAAAUCCAUUUGUUUCUAUAAUUAUCUCUGGUCAUUUUCUAAACCUGGGAAGCUGUCCAACUGAUAUUUUUCCCAUUAGCUUUGCUCAAGGUCCUGAAGAAGACAAUGUGUUUGAGGUAGCUAUGGAGGAAUGUCCAUAUGGACACCAGACACAGACCAGGCUCAGUCCCACUAUUAUUAUGCUUGUGCAAAAACAAAAUUGAAAAAUACAAGUAUUUGACAUGCUGACUCUUAUCCCCAAAGUAUUAUCUAAGCUUGGAGUUGGUUCUUUGAAGAGCACCAUUGGAGCAGGGCAUUCUCUCUGCCAAGAGCAGUCAAUGUAAAUGAUUAAAUACUCUUUAUUAAUAAGCAACUCCAUCAGUUUUAUUAGAGAUAUGUAAUGACCACAGCAGUGAACUGUUAAAACUCUAGCUUGAGGUCUGAUCCUCUAAGGUGGAUGUAAGCGCCUUUGUUCCCCAUCUGAUCACUGGAUCACUAUAACCCUGAUUAAAUAACUGCCACCAUUA
Molecule: long non-coding RNA, 4012 nt
Organism: Salmo salar (Atlantic salmon)
Lineage: Eukaryota; Metazoa; Chordata; Actinopteri; Salmoniformes; Salmonidae
Source: RefSeq, a predicted model, not a curated record